ACUAGCAGUAAGAGUUUGAUCCUGGCUCAGGACGAACGCUGGCGGCGUGCUUAACACAUGCAAGUGGUGCGACGAACCAGGGCUUGCCCUGGGGCAAAGCCGCGAACGGGUGAGUAACACGUGAGUAACCUGCCCCGAUGACCGGGACAACCCGAGGAAACUCGGGCUAAUACCGGAUGUGGCGCACAGGCGUAAGCCUGUUCGCCAAAGGAAGCUUCGGCCUCCGCAUUGGGAGGGGCUCGCGGCCCAUUAGCUUGUUGAUGGGGUAACGGCCUACCAAGGCAACGAUGGGUAGCGGGUCUGAGAGGACGACCAGCCACACUGGGACUGAGACACGGCCCAGACUCCUACGGGAGGCAGCAGUGGGGAAUCUUGGACAAUGGGCGCAAGCCUGAUCCAGCCAUGCCGCGUGGAUGAUGAAGGCCCUAGGGUUGUAAAAUCCUUUCGUCAGGGACGAUAAUGACGGUACCUGAAGAAGAAGCCCCGGCUAACUUCGUGCCAGCCGCCGCGGUAAUAC
RNAcentral lists this ribosomal RNA (517 nucleotides) under uncultured bacterium. Its description in RNAcentral is "bacterial SSU rRNA". It matches the Rfam family "Bacterial small subunit ribosomal RNA", at positions 1 to 526 of the family's 1533-position model. The record is from RNAcentral.